GAUCAUGGCUCAGAUUGAACGCUGGCGGCGGGCCUAACACAUGCAAGUCGAACGGUAACAGGAAGCAGCUUGCUGCUUUGCUGACGAGUGGCGGACGGGUGAGUAAUGUCUGGGAAACUGCCUGAUGGAGGGGGAUAACUACUGGAAACGGUAGCUAAUACCGCAUAACGUCGCAAGACCAAAGAGGGGGACCUUCGGGCCUCUUGCCAUCGGAUGUGCCCAGAUGGGAUUAGCUAGUAGG
RNAcentral lists this ribosomal RNA (241 nucleotides) under uncultured bacterium. Its description in RNAcentral is "partial 16S ribosomal RNA". It matches the Rfam family "Bacterial small subunit ribosomal RNA", at positions 15 to 252 of the family's 1533-position model. The record is from RNAcentral.